Long non-coding RNA from Panicum virgatum (switchgrass), 939 nucleotides. RefSeq lists it as uncharacterized. The transcript has 2 exons. The record is from RefSeq and is a predicted model, not a curated record. Lineage: Eukaryota; Viridiplantae; Streptophyta; Magnoliopsida; Poales; Poaceae.
CAGCAUUGUAGACCUUGAAAAGAUGCUGCCAUCAUCAGGUAGUGCUCAUGCAGUUGCUGGAGUACCUGAAGCAAUUCCAUUGCUGGUUUCUUAGAUGGAUUGGAUUUAUCCUGCAGCAUACCAUCAAAAGGAGGCCGACUGCCAAUAGAAGCUAGAUUACAACUUAAUGGGUCAUGCACCAGCUAGUAAGGUACUGCCACGAAACGAUUAAAUAAGCAGGAUCAAAUGUGAACCAUGCAGCUUCGAUAAUGUGGGCCAAUGUCAGCAGUAAAGGAGUAACCAUCUGAAGUAGAAAGGUUGUGGAUACACUUAACUGCAAGCUUGUUUCUUUCACCUUUUGGUAAGCAAAUGAUGAAGAUAACUGUCCAUAUAAGUGUGCCUGAGCUGACACAGAGUUUUAUGUUCUUGAUCAGGGUUUUGCAUAGCCAUCUAAAUGGGUGCAAGCGUGGAGGUAAACGUGAGUUUAUGUAGCUGAUAAUAGGUCGCAUCCAUGCUGGUACUGGUGGCAGUUUCAGCCCACAAUACACAAAGAUCAGGUGUAAUGGCCUUCUCCAUAUGACUGCUGCCACUGUGGCUGCAACAAUGGCUAGUAUGAAAUGAAGCGGCUUCUUGGGGUUAAAGCGUAGUGGAAAUUGAAGCGACACGGACAGCGCAGCAUCUAUUAGAGGAAUGGCUAGUUCAAGAGGAGGUUGGAAGUUGCUCUCUGUAGCAACUCCUAUUGUUGCCUCACCUCCUGUGGCGGUUUCACUCUGCUCCUCCAUUUCUGCAGAAUAGAAAAAGUUCAUAGUAAAAGGAAGUAUGAUGGUUGGCUAGUUAGAGUAUUUGCAGGGACAUAAAUAUCUUCUGCUUGUUUUCUUUUCAAAGUAUUUUGUAUACAAAGUCAAUGCAGCUUAGCAGGUACUAUAAUAGCAAUUAAAAUGUUAAUGUUUCAGUUCUUUA